RNAcentral lists this long non-coding RNA (806 nucleotides) under Anas platyrhynchos platyrhynchos (common mallard). RNAcentral describes it as "lncRNA (ENSAPLG00000030300.1)". Lineage: Eukaryota; Metazoa; Chordata; Aves; Anseriformes; Anatidae. The record is from RNAcentral.
CCCCACGCGCGCCCCCGCGGGCCGGGCGGGGCGGGGCUGAAGGGGAGAAAGGGGCGGGGCUAGAGGGGGUGGGCGGGGCUAAAGGGGUGGUGGGCGGGGUUAUGAAUGAAGUGGGCGUGGCUUAGAGGGAGUGGGCGGGGCUAGUGGGUGGUGGGCGGGGCUAGGGACUGAUCCCCUAUAGGGGACUGAUCCCUGUAGGGUCUGGUCCCCUGUGGGGUCUGAUCCCCUUCGCUGUUCUCCCAGCGCUCAGGCUGCCCAACAAGGGUGCUGGCCAUACGUGAAAUGGGGAUUCAGAGCGGCUGCAAGGAAGGUCAUCUGAAACUGAAGUGCUGGCUUCUUAACCAUUGUUUUGGGGAUCAAGCAAUGAAAAAUAUAAACUCAAGAAUAUUGAAAUUAAGCACCAGCGAAUUAAGCAGGGGAAAGGUGGGUCCUACAUCAGUCCCCCAAGAGAUGCUGCUAAAAUCAUAAAGAGAGUUUGCCCAAUGAAAGAUUUGCUACUGGAGCCAAUGUGCAGUCUCACUUCAAGACCAGCCAGAGCCAGAUCUUGGCCUCAAAACCAUUUUGACAAGACAUACCUUGUCAAACUCUCACUGGGAUCCAGCCAAGCUGCUUCCGCAACCAGUGCUGAUACCACGGGGCAGGUCUGGGCAUACGGUACCAUCUCAGCUGAUGUACAGCAAAACACCUCCACCGAAAAAAAAUCUCAUCUGAUGAAAAACCUGGAAGUCUGCCUCUGGGGAAGAGGUCUCUGGCUUUAUCCUGCAGACCUUUUUGCUGGCCAACAGGACUAUAGGGGUACACUUUAA